AUGCCCUACGGGACGCAGCAGUGAGGAAUAUUGGUCAAUGGGCGCGAGCCUGAACCAGCCAAGUCGCGUGAGGGAAGACGGUCCUAUGGAUUGUAAACCUCUUUUGUCGGGGAGCAAAAGACGCCACGCGUGGCGUUCCGAGAGUACCCGAAGAAAAAGCAUCGGCUAACUCCGUGCCAGCAGCCGCGGUAAUACGGAGGAUGCGCGCGUUAUCCGGAUUUAUUGGGUUUUAAGGGUGCUCAGGCGGAAGCUCAAGUCAGCGGUAAAAU
This 269-nucleotide ribosomal RNA is filed under the name uncultured bacterium. RNAcentral describes it as "partial 16S ribosomal RNA". It matches the Rfam family "Bacterial small subunit ribosomal RNA", at positions 334 to 600 of the family's 1533-position model. The record is from RNAcentral.